UGCAGUUUGAUGCACAAUAAAACAAACCAGCAUCCUCCCUUUUAUCCACUCAUUUAUUACAGACCUGUGAGCCUCUGUAGCCUCAGGAGACGAGAACACGUAGAAGACUUUAAGUCUAAGAGUUACCAGUGGUGCACGCAGUCUCGCCAGUCAUCGGCUCUGAGACACUUCCAGCCUGGACUCUGGAAACUGAGGCUGAUUGAAGCUGUUUCUCCUCCUGAGUUUGGAGGCUGACAGAUGGAGAGAGCAGUGGUGUCGGGACAUGACAAAAGAUCGAGGAGCACCAGAGAGGCACCUGAUCCUCAAACUGUUCAUCUCAAAGGUCCGAGAUGCAAAGUUGACCCCGAUCAUUUGCUGGGGAUUCUGGGUAUCGUAGGCACCGUUCUCAACCUGCUGGUGGUGGUGCUGGUGUACAUCUACACCCCAGUGUGAUGUGUGCACGAAGACACGUCGCUUGUUGUAUCCCAGGGAGUCCAGUCCGCUGUCCUGCAGAGGUUCCUCUCCUCCAACACACCUGGUUUGAAUGCAAUGCAUAACUAGAAGAGGUGUUUCAAUGAAUCAGUAGUGUUGGAGCAGAGAAACAAGUCAAAUCCCUGCAAUGAUCUCCUUUUGAAUCAACCUUUGAAGUUAUUUAUGUCUGAAGUUUGUCAGGACUCUUCGCAGACAUUUUCUGUCAUACUGUUUGGAUCCUUCCAAGGGUGUUUACUCCCCUUUUGUUUAAUUACUUGUGAAAAUACAUUUGUAUUUGUAACCAAUAAAUUUAAUGUAUUACUUCA
This is a long non-coding RNA of Austrofundulus limnaeus, 776 nucleotides long. RefSeq lists it as uncharacterized. The transcript has 2 exons. The record is from RefSeq and is a predicted model, not a curated record. NCBI's taxonomy places the organism in Eukaryota, Metazoa, Chordata, Actinopteri, Cyprinodontiformes, Rivulidae.